This 216-nucleotide ribosomal RNA is filed under the name uncultured bacterium. RNAcentral describes it as "partial 16S ribosomal RNA". It matches the Rfam family "Bacterial small subunit ribosomal RNA", at positions 115 to 334 of the family's 1533-position model. The record is from RNAcentral.
GUAUGGGGAUCUGCCCGAUAGAGGGGGAUAACUACUGGAAACGGUGGCUAAUACCGCAUAAUGUCUACGGACCAAAGCAGGGGCUCUUCGGACCUUGCACUAUCGGAUGAGCCCAUAUGGGAUUAGCUAGUAGGUGGGGUAAAGGCUCACCUAGGCGACGAUCUCUAGCUGGUCUGAGAGGAUGAUCAGCCACACUGGGACUGAGACGCGGCCCAG